RNAcentral lists this ribosomal RNA (329 nucleotides) under uncultured bacterium. Its description in RNAcentral is "bacterial SSU rRNA". It matches the Rfam family "Bacterial small subunit ribosomal RNA", at positions 28 to 334 of the family's 1533-position model. The record is from RNAcentral.
GACGAACGCUGGCGGCGUGCUUAACACAUGCAAGUCGAACGGAGAGACAUGGAAGCUUGCUUCUAUGAAUCUUAGUGGCGAACGGGUGAGUAACGCGUAAUCAACCUGCCCUUCAGAGGGGGAUAACAACGGGAAACCGUUGCUAAUACCGCGUACGAUAUGCUUUCGGCAUCGAGAGUAUAUGAAAGGUGGCCUCUAUAUAUAAGCUAUCGCUGAAGGAGGGGAUUGCGUCUGAUUAGCUAGUUGGAGGGGUAACGGCCCACCAAGGCGAUGAUCGGUAGCCGGACUGAGAGGUUGAACGGCCACAUUGGGACUGAGACACGGCCCAG